UGCAUGCCCACACAAAGGAAUCCUGACGGAGGAACAAUGGCUCGGUCCUGCUGUGUAGCACUGUGAUAAAGGAACGCCUUUCAGAAACCAAUUCCCACACCAGAUGGAAAAUGCUGACCACUGUCAUAGACCUCAGAAAGACUGAAACCAAAAAAUAGAUAAGGAAGUUCCAGAAAUUCCCUAGCUCUUAACUCAUUAUGGAUACCCCCUCACUCCUGCUUUAAAAACCCUUGCUUAUAAGCUAGCAGGGAGCUCAGGUGUUAAGUGCUAGGUACCCAUUCUUGCUUGGCACCCGGCAAUAAACGCCUUUUUCUCACUACAAAUCCCAGCAUCAAUGUUUGGCUUUUUUGGCAUGCUGGGUGACCAGAACCAACCCCUUCUUUGUGUACUUGCAUCCAACUCUGAUGAGCCUAUGUAUGUCAAGCUGGGUCGAGGCCCUUUGUGCUGAACACCAAGUCAACCUAAUUAAGGUUGAUGACAACAAGAAACUAGGGGAAUGAGUCGGCGGCCUCUGCAGAAUUGACAGAGAGGGGAAACCCUGUAAAGUGGUUGGUUGUAGUUGUGUAGUAGUUAAGGACUAUGGCAAGGAGUCACACGCCAAGGAUGUCAUCAAAGAGUACUUCAAACGCAGGAAAUGAAUACAUCUUUGGCUCACAAACCCCACAAACUUUUGAACGAAAUCUGCUUAUAUGAUGUGACAUACAUUUCUUUCAGACAUGGAUUUUGAAAUCCUAUCAAUAAAAGCCACCAGGUGAGACUGACAAGUCUGGUUUUGAGCAUGUAACUGCUUUGUUUUCUGAUAUCUGCAAAUUAGAGUGACCCAGUGCAGGCUCCUGACAUUUUGACCAUGACAGGCUGUCUGAACCCUGGGAGCUCGUUGUGCCCAUCCUCAGAGAUGUCCGUGUGUGACACAGCAGAGACUACUCCAGAGAUAACAGAUGAAAGCCAGCAGAGUACAAGGCAUAAAUGUGCAUGUCCUUCUGUUUUCUUUUUUUUUUUUUUAAGGGGUUCUGACUGAGCAGGCAGAUAGGGAAGGAACUCAGAUGACGAGCAAGUGCUGGGUGUUGGGGAAACAAUUUAAAUUUCCUACCACCCCAGAAUUUCCUCUCCAUAAAAUAUAGGAGAGAAAAAAAUGUUUAUUAUUGAAUAAACAUGAAACUAGUGAUGCGUAUCUUUAGCAUUCUGCUAAGGAGAUUGCAAAGACAGAAAGACAUCCCACCCUUUUAUAUAAGCAAGCAAAUAGGACCCAUUCAUUACAUACAUGUUCUCUAACUCAAGUAAGAGGACAUGACAGCACCAUUUGUCAAGCAUAAUUCCUCCUAAAUUCACCUGGUAAUUGGGGUGGCCAUUUGUGUUCGCUAAUUGCCUUUCUCAAAAGGAAAAAUGAAACUGAAGGUCUCUAGGACAGCAGGUAGUUUUACAACUUGGAGCCAGGUGCUUCAAUGAAACUACUACCCACUGCCCUCGCACUGACAGUGGGAGGUAGAGAGCUAUCUUCCUUGAUGUCUACAUUUUCAAAGAGAUGGCUUCCAGACCCUUGCAGGAAAAAGAGUCCUAGGUUGUAAAAUCGACUGGAGACUUACUUCGCUUUUUAAAAGAUUUAUAUACAUUUCAAAAGGGCAGCAAAAUAAUUUACAAGUUUUGUAAAGGAAAUGCUCUAAGUAAAAGGAAGGAGGAAGCUCUUCCGCUUUUUGCAUGGGCUUGUGGGGGUAACAUUCUGGAAUUCAUGAGGAGCAUGAAUUGGUUUCCUCCCUCCACGUGCUGGAGGGCACAGUGUAUGAAGCUUAGCAAGGCUCUAGUCGGGUGGACAAUCACUGGGAAUUCCACGCAUCAAAGGGACAAGGGACAAUCACUGGGUCCACUCUAUACUUCAGAGGGACAAGACCCAGUGAAUGUAGAACUGGGCCACAGUUUCUCUUGGUUCUCAAAGCACGCUGGCCCACACAUGAUAGGUUAUCAUUAAAUGUCUGGUGAGUGAGUGAAUGAAUGUCAGGAGCCUGAGAGACUUUAGAGGUUAUUUACCUCAGCUGAAAUUCAGGCAUCCCUUUCCCUAGGCUCUCAAAUACCAGCAGUGCUGGGGAUCCCACCACUUGCCAAAGCACCCAUUUUACUGGAUAACUAUUAUAACAUUUUUCAUAUCUCAAUAAGGGGAGAAAACAAAAUCAGAAUACUUUCAAGGGCAAGGUACUUUUUUCAAAACAAUCCCAAGAAGCAAGUAUCCCAUGUCACAGAGGAGGGAACUCAAAAACAGAGACUUUAACUAACAGCCCAAGGUCACACAGCUAAAGGGAAAUCACAUGUAUCGCAUGUUCUGCAUCAGGCACUCAUUUAAAUAAAGAUCCUUUCACUCACAAGGGUUUACCAUACAAAUAUUACAGCAUGUCUAGAUGGGGUCAACCCCUUUGUCUCCCAAGGCAUGGAGCUGCCAGAGAGUUCCAGCUGCCUCAGAUUCUCCCUGAUCUCUCAGGAAUGCUGAGUGUUUUCCCUCAAGCAGGGUUUCCACAGGCGAAUGCCGAGGGGAGGCUAAGUAUGGGGCCAAAAUGCCCACAGCACAUAGGUGUCAUUCCAGGCAGCACUGAGGGGAAGCAGAACCAGGAGAUGGCCCUUGGGGCCUUCCUUCGCAGAACACCACUCACCACAGAGUUCCAGGCGAUCAGUGGGUCAUGUGAGUCAAGGGCAAGUGAGUGAAUGAUACUGAUAUGCUUCAGGUAGGGAGAAGCCAUGAUGGGCAGCAUUGGAGGGAGGGGAAAGAGGGGGCGAGGAGGGGGUAGAGAUAGUAUUUGUCUACUUAUUCAUCUGAUGACUAUUUACCUACUGUAUGGCAGCUUUUCCAGUCCUUUGAGGAAAAACCCUAUGUGCUGAGCACUGGGUUCUAUUAGUUUUAUGAGUAUUACCCCAUUUAAUCCUCACUACGGACCCAGGAAGUAGAUGCUCGUGUUAUUCCCAUUUUACAAGUGAGCAGAUGCAGGGAGAGAAAGGCAAAACAACUCACCCAGGACCACACAGUUUGUGAGUGGCGGUGCUGGGAUUCUGGCCAGCAGUCAUAGUCCACACUCAACCAGGGCCCUCUGCUGGGCAACUAGAAAUUGUGUGUGAUUUGUGGUCUACUUGGGGAGCCAGAGCCUGUUGGGGGGUCCUGGGAGGGCAUGGUCGGCUAUGGGACAGACCAUUCAACAAUGUUUGAGGAGCCUUGUCAGGUCUUAACCAUACCAAAGCAUUGUAUUGCAUGCCUCCACCCACCUUGGGACUGGGACCAGGUCACACACUGCACAGGAUUCCAAUGGAAACAACGAAUAGACCCUUGCACACCCAUGUGCAUCAGUGGAGGACUAUGGAUGCCGUGUGCCCCCACUCCUCCCUCCCAACAGCUGCUUUCCAGGCAUCUUCCAGCUGGGGAAAUGGCCAUUGCCCUCAGCCCACAGCAGACUUAGCCUACCCUUGAAUGCUGCUGAAAAAAAAUAAAGGACUAAAUGUGUCCCCUGUUCUAGUCCAGAUUCUUAAGGAUGAGGACACAGCAUCCUGGGCCACUGUCACUAAUACAAAUUUGCCUCUGAGGGACUCUGUGAAAGAUAAUUCCGCUGAAAUUUGGAGAGUUGAAUUAAGCUAGGACUGAGUGUGCCUGGAAUUUGUGGUGGCCACCUACCCUAGAGGGCCUCAAGGAAAACCAUGGUUCAGGACAAUCCUGACAGAUUCUAGAAUCUAGAACAGAACACCUGUUCUACCAGGGAUGGAUUUGAACAUGGCAAGGCCAACCACCAAGUUCAUGGCCUGUGUACAGCAAAGAUGACGUUACAUCCUGAGAGCUAAGCCUGGAAGCUCUUUCAUCCAUCUGUUUGUCCAUCCAUCCAACCAUCCAUCCCUCCAUCUGCUCAACACAUGUUAGAGAAUCAAUCCGUGUGUCAGAUACUGGGGCUGCCCUCAAGGAGCUUUUAUCAAGUUCAGGGUACAGCCUAGCAGGGGAGACAGAUCACUGUAAAAACCUACCACUAUAAUGCAAAGGACAAGAGCAAAAAUAGUAAAGAGGAGAGAAGACCCAAAUUUCCCUGGUGGGUCAGAAAGGGCUUUCUAGAGGAAGUGAAAAAUCUUUGGGGCUAUCACUUCACCUCAUCCGGUGGAUAAAGGGAGGACUUUCCAGAUACAGUGGACAGAAUGUGCAGAGGCAGGAGCCAUGAGUGGCAGAGGCAGGGCAGGGACGAGCCGAGACAGGCUGGAGCUGAAGCACGAUGGCACUGGAGCCAUAGCCAAAGGAACAAACUGUGAGACCUGGGACUUGAAUUUGGAGGCGGUGAAACGUGACAACAAGGUUCCUCGCAGAAGAGUGAUUUUAUUCAACUUAUGGAAGGUUGACCUCAGACCAGUGCUGCCGAAGUGUGGUCUGUGGGCUGUUAGCAGUUCAUGACGAUGUAAGUACAGGAAUUGAGAGUAAGCAUUUAGAACACCUACAGCACUUUGAUAGUCAUUUUACUUUUUAAAUUUUGAGCUGGCAUUUUGCAUGCCUGUUUAUUCUACCUUUUUUUUUUUGAGACAGUCUCACUCUGUCGCCCAGGCUGGAGUGCAGUGGUGCUAUCUCUGCUCACUGCAAGCUCUGCCUCCUGGGUUCAGCCAUUCUCCUGCCUUAGCCUCCCGAGUAUCUGGGACUACAGGCGCCCGCCACCACGCCCAGCUAAUUCUUUGUAUUUUUAGUAGAGAUGGGGUUUAACCGUGUUAAAUGGAUGGUCUCGAUCUCCUGACCUCGUGAUCUGCCCGCCUUGGCCUCCCAGAGUGCUGGGAUGACAGGCGUGAGCCACCACGCCCGGCCUUCUUCUGUGUUUCUAAUAGUUGCACUUUAUCACAUUUUACAAAUGUGUGGGUCUGCUAUGGAUUAGAGAAGAGAUUUUGCCACAGAUAAAAUCUGUGUUGAGAAGCCCAGCACUGCCACUCAACAAAUGCAGGUGCAUUCAGAUGGUGAAAUAUUCUGCAGCUAUUAAAGGAAUUAAAACUGCCUCCACUUACCUGGAUGCCCAUCUGUGACACCCUUUUAGGUUAAAAGGAAAAGAAAAACUUGCUUAGAACUGAAUAUGAGUGGUUGCAAUUUUGUAGCGAUGAUGUAUGUACAUAUACAUUUUCAUAUAUUUGUAUGAACAUUAAAGUUUUGAAGGAUAUUCAUCAAACUGCUAAAAGGGUUGCUUCAGAGUAACAGACUUGGAGAAGGCAGAUUCAUUUUCUCUUAAUGGAACUCUGUAUUAUAUCAUGUGUAAAAAUAAGCAUGUGUUACCUUUAUGAUAAAAAAGUAAAAACCUAAAAAA
This is a long non-coding RNA of Rhinopithecus roxellana (golden snub-nosed monkey), 5285 nucleotides long. RefSeq lists it as uncharacterized. The transcript is spliced from 2 exons. The record is from RefSeq and is a predicted model, not a curated record. Lineage: Eukaryota; Metazoa; Chordata; Mammalia; Primates; Cercopithecidae.